This 368-nucleotide unclassified non-coding RNA is filed under the name Hevea brasiliensis (rubber tree). The record is from RNAcentral. Lineage: Eukaryota; Viridiplantae; Streptophyta; Magnoliopsida; Malpighiales; Euphorbiaceae.
AAAAAACUCUAAACCAACACUCCUCUACAAAGAUCUGAGAUAAAUUACACAUCAAAGUCAAAAAUUUCAAGAGUUAGACUUGAAGGGGUUUUUGCUGAAGCAAAAAUACAACAACCCAACAAGUGAAAUAGUCAAUAGGCAUCAACAAGCCUAUAAGUUAGCCAAAACGAAACUUGGGUCCAAAAUCAAACUCCUUUGUGGGCAAUAACAGAGAAACUGGUGAUGCUGGUCAAAUAUAAGACAAGAAAGAUUCUUCUUUAGUAACUUUAGCAUAUAUACCAAGAAUACACAAAGCUAUGGUGAAUAUGAGUGAAAAAGACAAGAUUUUGGAUCCUGGGAAAUUGUAAAAAUGGCAAGAAAGAGUUGCA